AUUGAACGCUGGCGGCAGGCCUAACACAUGCAAGUCGAACGAGUGGCGGACGGGUGAGUAAUCUCUGGGAAAGUGCCAGGUAGAGGGGGAUCACUACUAGACAGUGUAGAUAAUACCGCAUACUAUCGGAUCGGCCGAUAUGGGAUUCGCGAGUUGGUGGGGUAAAGGCUCACCAAGGCGACGAUCCCUAGCUGGUGUGAGAGGAUGACCAGCCACACUGGAACGGAGACACGGUCCAGACUCCUACGGGAGGCAGCAGUGGGGAAUAUUGCACAAUGGGCGAAAGCCUGAUGCAGCCAUGCCGCGUGUAUGAAGAAGGCCUUCGGGUUGGAAAGUACUUUCAGCGGGGAGGCGGUACCCGCAGAAGAAGCACCGGCUAACUCCGUGCCAGCAGCCGCGGUAAUUC
This 406-nucleotide ribosomal RNA is filed under the name uncultured bacterium. RNAcentral describes it as "partial 16S ribosomal RNA". It matches the Rfam family "Bacterial small subunit ribosomal RNA", at positions 30 to 526 of the family's 1533-position model. The record is from RNAcentral.